Ictalurus punctatus (channel catfish) is the source of this 1216-nucleotide long non-coding RNA. RefSeq lists it as uncharacterized. The transcript is spliced from 2 exons. Lineage: Eukaryota; Metazoa; Chordata; Actinopteri; Siluriformes; Ictaluridae. The record is from RefSeq and is a predicted model, not a curated record.
CCAAAAUCCAGCGGAGAGCCGAACCCGGAGAGAGCAAGAGAUAGAGCAGCUCUCGCCUCGGCUCUUCUUACAGAUCCCUAAAAGAUCCCCCGGACCUGAGACGGCAAGCUGCCUCGGCAGCGGCCGGCCCACAUCCAUGAGGCUCUGAAACCGAACUCGCUUCGGCUUCCGAGAAGAGCGGGAGUCGCGAGCCAAGCUGAAUAAUAGGCAUUACCAUGCAAACCGAUUGUAUGGAGAUACUAGAGAUCGCGAUCCUUUCUGGACCUGCCUGAUCCGUUUCGGAUGUCCUACCUCUGGAUGGAACUGUCAUCUAUUCCAAUUCAAGAUUGCUGGGACUAUGGCUGCUUCUAAGGCCAAACAGACUUCAUAUAAAACCAUAAUGAACUUUUUCACACUAUCUGUUGUUACACAGAUGAAGAUGGGUUCCCUUCUGAGUCUGGUUCCUCUCAAGGUUUCUUCCUUUUAAUAUCUUAGGGAGUUUUUCCUUGCCAACAUCGCCACCGGCUUGCUCAAUUGGAAUAAAUUCACACUUUUAAUAUCUGUAUACCAUGUUUAUAUAUAUUUCUGCAAAGCUGCUUUGAGACAAUGUCUUGUAAAAAGCACUAUACAAAUAAAAUAAAAUUGAAUUUAUGUGGGGAUGUCACAGUGGCGCAGGGAAGAACAUUACCACCUUACAUCUCCAGGGUCCCCAGUUUGAUCCUGAGCUCAGGUUACUGUCUGUGUGGAGUUUUCCAUGUUCUCUGUGUCAGUGUGGGUUUCCUCUGGGUUCUUUGGUUUCUUCUCACAUCCCAAAAACACUGGCUAUGCUAAAAUUGGCCUAGGCGUGUACAUAAAUGCUUUGUGAUGGACUGGUGUUUGCCACAAAUCCCCUCAGUGCACAGUGCUUUUCACUGCACUAUGUGCACAGCCCAUGCUCUUAUCGUGAUAUGUUUUGGUUUUUUUUACUUCUCUGUCCUUUCUCGUCAUUUGUGUGUCUCCUGAUUGUGUCCAUUUGUUUUCAGUUUAAUUUCUGAUUAGUGUUAUUUCUUUGUAAAGUUGUAUGUGCAUUCAUUGUAUGUGUGUAUUAUACAGUGUAUUGUUUUAUAACUUUUUUAUGAUUUAUUCCUGCAUUUCAUUUCUGUUUAUGGAUUAUCCUUUUGCUAAAGACGACCCAUACUACAGACUUUGAGAAUAAUUUGUAGAAACUCCCAAAUAAAGAACAUGCUGAGUACAUGCA